GAGGAAUGGAGGGCAGUUUUGGAAACAGUGGAGUAGGAGUAACUGAUUCUGGGAAUCAGUUAGAGAUUUUUGUUUUCUUCCCCAUCUAUCUGUUUUCUUCCCAUCUAUCUGUUUUGCUUCUUUCUCUACAAUUCCUUGUAAUUCUUCUAUUCAAUCAAUAAUACAAAGAGAUUAGGGUUCAUUGAUCCUAAUCCACCAUUCAGUUUCAAUUACGCUAUUUGUUCCUAAUUGAUACCGGUAUUAACAUAUUAUUAUUAGCAUUAAAAAGGCCUCUACUUUUUCUUAUCAAGACAUUGCGUUAAAGUUUGUUUUAAGCCUCAAGAAGUGUUAGGUUGGCCCUGAAGAUUGGGAUGCCCGAUUGGCCAUACUAAGGAGAAAUCUACUCGAGGCAUAAAAUCAUACGAGGGGACCAAGCUAACAAACAUGACAGAACAUUGGAAUUCCAAUUGGGUGAUUAGAUUUUUCUUAAGCUGCAAUCUUACUAACUGAAGUCUCUAGCUAAGCAGUCUAAUGAGAAGCUUGGUCUGCGUUUCUUUGGCUUUUAUUAAGUGGUUGAGAGAGUAGGACAGGUAGCCUAUUGAUUGGAACUUCCAUAACACAACCACAGACAGUAAUCUUGUCUCAGGUAUCCUUGUUGCUCAUGACAGCUUUAGCUCCUCAAGCAUUUUCCCAACCAUUCCCUCCUAAGUAGUCUGAUGAGUGUGAGCUAGUGGUGCAAUCUUAGCAGGUGGUGACUCCCCAAGAAGGACCAUAAGGAAACUUGAAUAUUCUGAUUAAACGGCUUCAUGAAAUUGAAUUUUUUGAAUUUUUUAAAAAUUGAACAGACUCAUAUUCUGAUUGAACGUGUAUUCCGAUUGAACUUACUCGUAUUCUGAUAUAUUUUUUUAAAAUUGAUUUUUUUGUUGCUUUAUAUUCAACAUCAGAGGAAGUAAUGUUUAAUAAUAAAAGUUAUUCAUACAACUGUUAUUUGCUAGGCAGUAAUUUUACAACCCCUUGGAGAUAAAGGAAUUACAAUUAUUGGCGGUGACACAAUACGAGGUUUCACUACUUCUGAUCAGGCAUGGAUUACUUAUAUCGGAGAGAAGCUGGAUUCUACCCUUGCAAAAUAUGUGAAACAUCAAACUCUUACUUAAGUUUCAAAGAUUUGCAAGUAGCCUCUGGUGUUUGUUUAUUCUUGAUAUCAGCGGUAAUAAAUCUUGGAACAAUCAGCUGAGUUCUUCAUUAGGAGUAUGAAGCUAAAAUUGUUCUCAUGUAUAUUUUAUCCAUGCUGAACUUAAAUAUAAGUAAAAAGGUACAUGUUUUCCGACCAAAUUCGUGUACUGUUUUUGCUUAUAUUUAAGUUCGAAGAGUAUUUCAGCAGUUUUUAUAUUGAUACCUGGCCAAUCUAAUUCAUUAGUAUAAUAGUAACUUAUUGUACACAUAACAACAUAAGCACGUUGUCUACUUGUCUUAGACCAUUUGCAUAUUAAAAUGUUUAUUUUAGAGAAAUAAUUAUUUUUUUGACAGCUUCA
Molecule: long non-coding RNA, 1511 nt
Organism: Cicer arietinum (chickpea)
Lineage: Eukaryota; Viridiplantae; Streptophyta; Magnoliopsida; Fabales; Fabaceae
Source: RefSeq, a predicted model, not a curated record